UAGUGGCGCACGGGUGCGUAACGCGUGGGAAUCUGCCCUUGGGUUCGGAAUAACAGUUGGAAACGACUGCUAAUACCGGAUGAUGUCGUAAGUCCAAAGAUUUAUCGCCCAAGGAUGAGCCCGCGUAGGAUUAGCUAGUUGGUGAGGUAAAAGCUCACCAAGGCGACGAUCCUUAGCUGGUCUGAGAGGAUGAUCAGCCACACUGGGACUGAGACACGGCCCAGACUCCUACGGGAGGCAGCAGUAGGGAAUAUUGGACAAUGGGCGAAAGCCUGAUCCAGCAAUGCCGCGUGAGUGAUGAAGGCCUUAGGGUUGUAAAGCUCUUUUACCGGAGAUGACAAUGACAGUACCGGGAGAAUAAGCCCCGGCUAACUCCGUGCCAGCAGCCGCGGUAAU
RNAcentral lists this ribosomal RNA (396 nucleotides) under uncultured Sphingomonas sp. RNAcentral describes it as "bacterial SSU rRNA". It matches the Rfam family "Bacterial small subunit ribosomal RNA", at positions 93 to 524 of the family's 1533-position model. The record is from RNAcentral. Lineage: Bacteria; Pseudomonadati; Pseudomonadota; Alphaproteobacteria; Sphingomonadales; Sphingomonadaceae.